GACGUAGGGGGCGAGCGUUGUCCGGAAUUACUGGGCGUAAAGAGCACGUAGGCGGGAACUUAAGUCAGGUGUGAAAGACCGAGGCUCAACCUCGGGGUGGCACUUGAAACUGGGUUUCUUGAGGGCAGGAGAGGAAAGCAGAAUUCCUGGUGUAGCGGUGAAAUGCGUAGAAAUCAGGAGGAAUACCAGUGGCGAAGGCGGCUUUCUGGACUGACCCUGACGCUGAGGUGCGAAAGCGUGGGUAGCAAACAGG
This 253-nucleotide ribosomal RNA is filed under the name uncultured bacterium. Its description in RNAcentral is "partial 16S ribosomal RNA". It matches the Rfam family "Bacterial small subunit ribosomal RNA", at positions 524 to 776 of the family's 1533-position model. The record is from RNAcentral.